GCGUGCGCAGUGCCACCUACUGGCAGAAUAUGAUAAUAGCCGGCAGAAGCCAUUACGAUUCUAACGCGAGUUCAAACGUGCGUGUUUUUGUACUUCGCUUAUUAUUUUCCGCUUAUAUUUUUGUUAGAAGCAUUAUUUAACGUAGUAUUAAGAUAUUAAGAUAUCACGCUGUUAUCGCAGUUAUGAGACUUGACGAGUUACGAUGAAAAACUAUGAAUCGAUACGUUGUAAAUGGAGAUAUUCCAGAUUGAGUUACCGGCAGAAAAAUUAUCGGAAAUUACCCGUCUCUGAAUGGGAGUCUUAAUCGAUAAGUGAGCAAAAGGAAGGAAGGAAGGAAGGAAGGAAGGAAGGAAGGAAGGAAGGAAGGAAGGAAGGAAAGAUCGAACGAAGAAACGAAGAAAGAACAUAGAUAUGGAGGGGAGAAAAAACGAGUGCUCGCGAACGUGUACGCGCGACCAUUCUAACCGAGUCACGAUGAGAAAUCCACACCUGUCUGAACACACGAAGUGUCGUACCACUUAAGCGUCCAGAACUCGCUGCUUCUGUUCGACGUCAGUUGAUGAAAAAGAAAAAAAAGAAACAAACAAAGAGAAAGAAAACGAAAGGAAAGUAUUAACAUCGUUUGAACAAUUUUCAAAGGAAACCAUGAAUAUAUCGGUUCCGACGAAUAUCUUAGUCUAAUCUACUUUGUUAUAAGGAUAAAGUAACGAAACGAUAAGGAGCUCGUUAAUUGAAUUGACGGCAAUUAAUAUCGUCGAAUCAUUCUUCCUACGUUUCUCCUUCUCAGAGCCAUCGUUUCAAUGGGAUAGACGAAAGAAAACCUGAUAAGCGGGACGUCCCUUCCGAUGGAUGAAAAGUUGAUUCGGUCAUAAAUCAAUCUAGACGCGAUUUACUUUCUUGGAGUAGCGCCAACCGAACGAAGGAACGGAAUUCUGCAGUCAAUGAUUUCUUCAUUCCGCAUUCGUAUACUCGUUCGAUAGAUGAAUUCGUCUUCUUCGAUAAGGUUUGAAGAAGAAAAGAGUGGAAAAGGAAAAUGAAAAGGAAGAGGAGGAGGAGGAAGGGGAAAAGGAGAAGAAGAAGAAGAAAAUAAAAAGAAAACGAAAAAAAAAAUAGAAAUCCAAAUGAGUAUGAGAGGAGAGUGAUGGAGAGGGGAUGUAGGAGAGAAGACGUUAUCGCGAAUAAUCGAAAGAGAUAGGAGGAAAAGGGGAUUAUCUCGAAGAGAAGCAAAGAGAGUAAAAGUUCGGAGAAUGAAUUGCGGGGGAAGAUGAAACAAUGAAACGACGAUAACGACGCGCUAGCAGUUACGAAAAUAAAUGUAUGCGAGCGAUUACGAGUGAGGGAGAGAGAGAGAGAGUCCGUUGGUAUUUCCAGUCUGAAGGCCCGACGAGUGCCGAGAAAUGAAAUUUUACGCGAUUCUUGCUCGUUCGAACGAUUUGCAUUUCACAAAGAGAGAAAACAAUGCUCGGAGUCUGACGUAGGACGAGAUUAUUCCUCCAUCUAAUUUCACUUGGCUCUUCGUUAUACCCAAAGACUUCCUAAUGUCGCUUCUUAGAAAUUCAGUGAGUCAGUACGCCGACAACGCCGACGCCGACGACGACGACGACAACGACGACGACGACGACGACGACGACGACGACGACGAAUGUUGGUCCACUUUCUUGCAAAAGAUACGUAUUUGCCAGCGGCACGUGGCUCUACGAGUCUUCCAUGCAUAAAAUCUCCAUGAAUUGAAGAAAAUGUCGUGAACGUUGCGUUAUAUUACAUCUAGAAUUAUCAUUAGGUUUUUUAAUUCUCCCUAUUUCGUUACUUUCGAAGAAAAAUAUUCGACCAACUUGGAUAGAGGAGAUAAAUGAAAUGUGUUUAAAUAAUAGGAAAUAAUUAAGAAAAUGAAUAGGAGGCUUUUUCCGAGCUGCUGAAAUGUUGGACGUGCCAUUUGCAAGGAUUAUUAGAGACCCAUGCUCU
This is a long non-coding RNA of Vespula pensylvanica (western yellowjacket), 1962 nucleotides long. RefSeq lists it as uncharacterized. The record is from RefSeq and is a predicted model, not a curated record. The transcript has 6 exons. NCBI's taxonomy places the organism in Eukaryota, Metazoa, Arthropoda, Insecta, Hymenoptera, Vespidae.